GACGAACGCUGGCGGCGUGCCUAAUACAUGCCAGUUGAGCGCUGAAGGUUGGUACUUGUACCAACUGGAUGAGCAGCGAACGGGUGAGUAACGCGUGGGGAAUCUGCCUUUGAGCGGGGGACAACAUUUGGAAACGAAUGCUAGUACCGCAUAAAAACUUUAAACACAAGUUUUAAGUUUGAAAGAUGCAAUUGCAUCACUCAAAGAUGAUCCCGCGUUGUAUUAGCUAGUUGGUGAGGUAAAGGCUCACCAAGGCGAUGAUACAUAGCCGACCUGAGAGGGUGAUCGGCCACAUUGGGACUGAGACACGGCCCAAACUCCUACGGGAGGCAGCAGUAGGGAAUCUUCGGCAAUGGACGAAAGUCUGACCGAGCAACGCCGCGUGAGUGAAGAAGGGUUUCGGAUCGUAAAACUCUGUUGGUAGAGAAGAACGUUGGUGAGAGUGGAAAGCUCAUCAAGUGACGGUAACUACCCAGAAAGGGACGGCUAACUACGUG
Molecule: ribosomal RNA, 497 nt
Filed under: uncultured bacterium
Lineage: Bacteria
Description: partial 16S ribosomal RNA
Rfam family: Bacterial small subunit ribosomal RNA
Source: RNAcentral